GGACGAACNUCUUUUAUUAUUAACUGCUCUUUCCUUUACUUUACCUAACCAGAAUGCCCCGGCUAACUACGUGCCAGCAGCCGCGGUAAUACGUAGGGGGCAAGCGUUGUCCGGAAUUAUUGGGCGUAAAGCGCGCGCAGGCGGUCCUUUAAGUCUGAUGUGAAACCCCACGGCUCAACCGGGGAAGGUCAUUGGAAACUGGGGGACUUGAGUGCAGGAAAGAAAAGUGGAAUUCCACGUGUAGCAGUGAAAUGCGUAAAGAUGUGGAAGAACACCCGGGGCGAAGGCGACUCUCUGGCCUGAAACUGACCCUCAGGCAGCGAAAGCGUGGGGAGCAAACAGGAUUAAAUACCCUGGGAGUCCACGCCGAAAACAAUGACCCCUAGGUGUAAGAGGGUUUCCUCCCCUUGGAGCAGGCAGAAAACACGUUUAACCA
RNAcentral lists this ribosomal RNA (436 nucleotides) under uncultured Bacillus sp. Its description in RNAcentral is "bacterial SSU rRNA". It matches the Rfam family "Bacterial small subunit ribosomal RNA", at positions 443 to 867 of the family's 1533-position model. The record is from RNAcentral. Lineage: Bacteria; Bacillati; Bacillota; Bacilli; Caryophanales; Bacillaceae.